GGGGGGAGGUGGGGGGGUUGAAUUUGAAUGAAACUGAAACUGAGUUAUACGAGUUAUGAUUUCUAAUUAUGAGAUCAUCCCACCGGCAACUUCGGGAACAUUUUCUCAUACAUCAUUUUGGGAAAGCUGAAUAUUUAUGUAGGAACUGAAUAUUUUAGAGGAGAGUCUGGUAAGUAAUUCUGUGAGAUUCUCUGGAUAACCACCACCGCGUCAGGUGAAGAUGGGUGCAGAGGGAGGUGACAGCGUUCCACAAUUAACCAUUUGCACAUUCAGAGGAAAUGUUGGGUCAAACUUGACUGCAGAAAUCGACCUCUGACCCCCGGCACAAAGAAGCACUGUCGACCAUGUGGACCAAUGAGGGGACAGAGAUCAGCAGAGCCCCUUAGAAUAUUUUACAACCGAGUCUCACAGCAAAACGUGUAGUAGCCACGUUGUGGAACGUGGUAUUUUCACGCUUUCUCCCCAAAAUCGUGACAAUACUACGUUUUAUUUCGGCCCAUUCAUUUACAUCGCCUUGAAACUACGUCACCAGAAACUAAGAAACGGAGGUCUUCUACAUUCUCUGAUGAAAGAUUAUGAAAAUAUAACGCAUACUUCUCACUAGAAAUGCCAUCGAAAUGCAUACAAAUGCUGAAAAUAUCGUGUUUUUCACACAUAAUGGACCGACUUUUCUUUUUUUAGCUGAGGGGAAGUUGAUGGUCACGUGACCUCGUUGCAAACGAAACCUGGUAUUCUCACGCUUUCUCCCCAAAAAGCGUGAGAAUACCGCGCUCCACAACGUAGCUAUUACACGUUUUGCUGUGAGGUUGUAUUUUAACAUUAUGACAUCAGCGCUGCUGGAUCCACUCCUCUGCCCGCGAUCACGGUCAGCACACGGGCCCGUUAGCGACUGAGCUAACGAAUGUCCCUUUUUUAAGGUUAGCGAGCCUCUUAAAAGUCCUGAUGCUACGUCCUCUUCCCACCUUAGCAGCUCUCUUCACUGCUAAACAGCAUUAAAUGUGUUAUUCUAGGAAUACUCUCUCAAUACUGGGAUGUUUGCUGCUACAUGGCCCAUCCGUGUGUGCUGCUCAGCGGAUGACGGAGUGAACCGCGGCAUCGCAGGCCUAAAGUGCCCCUGGCGUCACGCCGGUCGAUGCUCUCCGACCCCGCUUUGUAUUCACGCCGGCGGCGGCCGCGGGCGGUUUCGACGCGUUGCGGUUCGAGGCCGGCUGCCAUAUUGGCCCAAACUGAAAAAACAGAAGAAACAAAAAAGGCAGUGGGAAGGUUCAAGGAGAGCAGAGCAGAGAUCAGGCUGAUGGAGGCCAGAGAGGAGGCGGAGAAACGGCUCCACUGUACUCUGACGCCUCGCCGAUACAUCUCGCCAACCAGAGCCGACACCCGGAGGGGAAUUUAACCCCGAUGCCCAGAACGCAUCCCUCGACUCUCCAAACGAACGCAUACAAAUUCUGUUGGAAACCCCAAAUAACAGUAUGCACCCAAAUGUGAGGAUGAGGGCCUUCGAGGGCAGUCGCAGAGACGACUAAUGGAUGAGUGUUGGACGCCAUGAGUCAUCAAAAUGGGUCAACGGUGUGCUAGCUCCAUUCAGAGUCCUCUGCGAGGUGUAAUUAGACCGAACUCCUCUGAACGCAAAGAAAAAACAAACGAAACGGCGCUCAAAUGAUCCUCUCCUCCAUCUGACAUGAAUCCCCCCCCGACGGUCGCUGGUUAAUCCGUCCAUCUGAAACGUUUAAAUCCAAGAAUAUGUCAUUUUAAUAAGAGGAUUGACACCCAACGCGCUUAACCGCCUCGUGUAAUUACCUCCGGUGUCUGCAGGAACUUCUCUGUGAAUUAAAAAAAGAACACUUCUGAAAAGUAAAGGAAAAAUCAUCUCCUGCAAACCCCAUUGUGUGCACGCGUGUGCGUGUGUGCGUGUGUGUGUGUGUGUGUGUGUGCGUGUGAGACAAUGGAGGUUGUUAGAGGUGUCGGACCCUCCGUUCUGCGCCGUUACCUCCUCCCCUGACAGAUGGCGCGAGAUGCCCGCAGGCUGCCGGUCACAUGAUUAGGGCCGCCGCAGGUUCCCUCGCAGAGGCCCUUCUGCCUGGCGGGCUACAGGUGAGCCGCUCUGCAUCAGAGCUCCCCCAGGUGAUGGAGGGGGGGGGAUUAAGGGUUUUGUUUAGCCGUCGAGUUCUCGUCCGUCUGCGGCUGUAGGAAUAAUGUCCCCACAGUUUUACGAUGGUUCCCUCUCACCGGGACUUUCAGGGAACAGAUGACCUAUAAAACGCAUUCCUCCUCCACCUGUUUGCUUUUGUAGAAAACGCUCGGCUGUGGGGGGCUUUUGAUUUAUCUGUAUUGCUUUUUUAUUUUCAAAUGGAGAGAAGGCAGAUAGGGACGCGUCGCGGCGGCAAGAAAAGGAUUAUUUUCUUUCCUCGGUAGAGCUGCAUAAGACCGAUGCUUCUCUCGCGUCUGUGUUUGACCCAGGUGGCGAUUAGCUGAGCGCAAAUACUGGAAGCGUCUCUAUGUUUUUAAUGAGGGGGUAAAUUACUCCCCACAGAAAAAAAGACCUGGCAGAUGAACAGAUCUUCUGAUAUUGAGUAAAUAAUCGUUGGUGUAGUGAUCAUCUGAAUGCCGAUGCUCGGCUCACCCGGCAUGCCAGCAGACACAAACCCCCCGGAUCCCAUUUUAAUGUGACAAUAAUAACUGUGAUUCAGCUCGGGUCACGUCACUCGUCUCAUUGCUCUGGAACAGCCGAGCUAACAACAGGGAAGCAUCAAUAAAACAGCAAAUGGAGAGGUAAGCCCUUCACGCUGCGCCGCACAUCUGCAGCCACCAGCUGUGAUUACCAACGUCCCCGGCGUCCAGAAGCCCAACGUUACUGCGUGCUCUGUUUCCCACAGCAGCAGAAAUGCCAACGUCAGCCGCCACAUUAAAAAGGCCUCAUUUCAAAUUGGUCUGCCUUUGAGCAAGGCACCGAGUGGCUUCUUCUCGGGCUCAGACUGCUGCACGGAGACAACACGUCCCGUUCCACAACGGUUAAAAACAGGCGAGGAGACGAGGAGAUACAAACAGCGCUUCAAAGUGAGCUCGGUGUAACUUUUCCUCCCGUUUCAUCCCUGGAUCCCGGCGCUGGACGACCAGCGGCAGCAGCUGCGCUGAUCCUCUGCGCUUCUCUUCCAGGAGCGGCGGGUUUUUGUGGUCGUUCGGCCCGCGGCCUCCUGGAAGCUCCAGGGGGUCGAGCGGUCGGCGGCUUCCACGCGUCUCUGCCAGGAAACGAGGCAGCGGCUCCUCUGCACCAAAGCCGGAGCUUUUUUUGCAUUAACGGCCUCUUUAAAAGGAAAUCAGGUUCUUAUUAAACCUGAAAUUCACCUGCGUCAUUAAAAAGGAUCUAAAUUUGAUAUUUGCAACGGUUGAGAAAGAGCUGAGUAACGUCUACCUGAGAGGAGAAGGAAGUAGAACGGCGUCCUGACUUCCGGGCCGUUAAAUACUUAAGCACUUGAGUUUAUUCCGGAUUUUCAUGGGUGCUUUUUUGCAUUGGAGGUUGGUCCGCUCCAUUAAGUCACUGUUGCCAAGGUGCAGUUUGUGCUCCUCAGAGAAAACAAAGGACGAAGGAACGUGUGACCAAAAGGCCAAAUCAAACGCUUUGGGUCACAGAGGAGGGAGGACGAGACGUGUUGGACAGCAGAGCAGCUGCACAGCGAGGGAGCGGAGCGACGAGAGCAAGUAUCAAACCACCUGGAUGUCUGCAGGAGCCGCCUGCAGCGCAGCCUCCAGAGGACGGAACCAGCGGCAGAUCCAGGGCUCCGAGUCGACCCCGUCAGACGGAUAUCCAGAGGCGACGCGCCGGUACUCGGCGAGGCUCUCAGACUAAAGACCCCGGCUGGAAUAGUACCCACGUAACCACGGGGGGAAUAAGGCUAAACAGGGGAUGAAUUAAUACUAUAUCAAAGGGAACCACGGCAAUGAAUUCAGGUACACGGUGCAGAAACCUCAGAAUCACGCUGGUACACCGAGUGGAGGAAAAGAGCACGUGUUGCUGCAGCGGCGCUGUGCUGCGCUCUAUUACAAAGUCACAGCGGGGGGGGGGAAUCGACCCAAGCGGCUUUGAUAGCACAGGGCUUUAAAGGAUAAGAUUAGCAUUGAUCAAAUAAACCGAACUGCGUGUGCAGCAGCCAAAUUCUGUCUCACCUUUAGGAGAGAUGCCAGGCAUGUUGGUGAGCUGUAUUUUACUUCCUGUUCGUAUUACGAUCGUCCCUUCUGAAAUAGGACAAACCCACCGCAAAGUCAUGUGAUAAAGACGCGUUUAUCUAAAUUGAACAACGUCAGAAAAGUUCUUGGAAUAUGUGGUGUCUUCUCUGUGACGCUGCGAGGACAAUUAAGAACUAACGGCCACAAACCCACUUAUUUACCAUGACGCUUGUUGCACAACUGCAGAUUCCCUCCAUCAAGUGAACAAAGGACGGAAUCACCACCUAUUAUUCCCCCUAUUUAGACAUAAACGGGGAGAUGGAGUCAGGCGAGCGGCGUCUGCCUGCAGACACUCACACAGGACGGCGAGGACGAUAACAGGAGAGCAGCAAGAGGAAAAACGCCGCUGCAAUUAUAUCAGUGCGGGUGUAAAUCUUGAAGGCGUGCAGGAGGAGUGGCCCCCCGGCAUGAGGGCUGAAACAUGGCUCACCGGCUCUCCAACGGCUGAAUCACGGCGGAAACAGCAGGAGGCUGAAGACGUCCCUCGGUGGUAGUGAAGACCGCCAGCCGCUCGCCGCGUUUAACGGCCUCGGUUUACACGCGUGUGUGCGUUUGGUUGACGGGCGUUCUGGCAGCGAGCUGCCGUCACAGCUUCCCCUAAAUACCUGUAAGUAUAUGAAUGACCUUUUGUCUGUUCUGAGGUAUGAGCCAGCGGUGGGAUCCCUGAGGCGUGUUGUGAAGCGUGAUAUUAAACCCCGAGCUUCACAACGGGGGGGGGGGGGCUGCCGAGUCCCAACAACAGCGGUGAUUGACAGCUUCCCUCGUCUGGAACCAAACGCCGCCAGGAGAGAGAAGCUGCCUCAAUAGUGUGAAAUGAUGAAGAAGGGGGGGUUGGCGGACGCAGCCGGCUAUUAGCCAUUAGAGUGACUGUCUGUGGGUCAUGGACGGGUGUGGACGGACCCCCGAUCAGGGGACAACAUGAAGACACAACUGAGUGUCUAGAUUCAGGCGGAGAAUCUCGGACUGCUGCUGUAGUUCAUAAUGUGACGUGAGCGACGUGAGAAAAUACCGAAAGAAUGAAGAAUGCGGAACUUGCAUCUUCCAUCCGACUUUAAUCUUGACCGUUAAAACACUGAGACUCGCUGUAAAAGGAAGGAAGAGCGGUCGUAAGUAAGCUGACUUCUUUUCAGUCGAUUUCUGCAGUUUCAACUGAUUGAAGAAGCAGUUCACAGCCGCCGGGAUGCUGGACUGUGGACGAGGAGAAAUUAAGAUGCAGG
Long non-coding RNA from Gasterosteus aculeatus aculeatus (three-spined stickleback), 5438 nucleotides. The record is from Ensembl. NCBI's taxonomy places the organism in Eukaryota, Metazoa, Chordata, Actinopteri, Perciformes, Gasterosteidae.